GGAUCGAUAGCUCAGUCGGUAGAGCAGCUGACUCUUAAUCAGCGGGUCGGGAGUUCGAGCCUCCCUCGAUCCACCA
This 76-nucleotide transfer RNA is filed under the name Oligoflexia bacterium. Its description in RNAcentral is "tRNA-Lys". It matches the Rfam family "tRNA". Rfam says of the family: Transfer RNA (tRNA) molecules are approximately 80 nucleotides in length. Their secondary structure includes four short double-helical elements and three loops (D, anti-codon, and T loops). Further hydrogen bonds mediate the characteristic L-shaped molecular structure. tRNAs have two regions of fundamental functional importance: the anti-codon, which is responsible for specific mRNA codon recognition, and the 3' end, to which the tRNAs corresponding amino acid is attached (by aminoacyl-tRNA synthetases). tRNAs cope with the degeneracy of the genetic code in two manners: having more than one tRNA (with a specific anti-codon) for a particular amino acid; and 'wobble' base-pairing, i.e. permitting non-standard base-pairing at the 3rd anti-codon position. The record is from RNAcentral. Lineage: Bacteria; Pseudomonadati; Bdellovibrionota; Oligoflexia.